CUUAACCAAAAAAACAUUUUCAGGCCAACAAUUUUAAGUUUUUAUUUUUACAGUGCAUUCACAACAACUUCCCAACAUAACUUGCUUGCUGUUUGGAGUACAGACAGCCUCAGCAUAGGAGCAUGAGUUGGAUUGGGUAGAACUGAAGGGCUCUUAGGUGCAGUUUUGGAGAAUAAGUGUGCAUAGUCUGCCUCGAAAGAUGUGUGAUAUUGCUUCAAAACAAAUAGUCAUGUUGUACAAUAAAGCAUCAGCAUCAGCCUUUACAUAUGCAGCAGCUGCUGAAGUGCUUCAACACCAGUUUUUGUCUCCAAAUUUGUUGAUAUGGUUGAACAGUCGAAUGUCUUCCACUCAGAGCAGUGUUUGUGUGCACUGUGGUGUUGAGUUGUUACAACCUGUGUGAACCCUCUACUUUCCAAUGCACCUAUUCAACCUCACGGUGACACACAGUUCACUAUUUGUGGUGCUGUUCUCUUGUGUCGAUGGUAUCACUCAGAGAGGUGAAAGCAGUCAGUAAGCCCUUUGUCAAACAGGAACAGAUACUGACAUGUUUAUGCCCUUUAUU
Molecule: long non-coding RNA, 562 nt
Organism: Notolabrus celidotus (New Zealand spotty)
Lineage: Eukaryota; Metazoa; Chordata; Actinopteri; Labriformes; Labridae
Exons: 3
Source: RefSeq, a predicted model, not a curated record